RNAcentral lists this ribosomal RNA (484 nucleotides) under uncultured bacterium. RNAcentral describes it as "partial 16S ribosomal RNA". It matches the Rfam family "Bacterial small subunit ribosomal RNA", at positions 30 to 507 of the family's 1533-position model. The record is from RNAcentral.
AUUGAACGCUGGCGGCAGGCCAAACACAUGCAAGUCGAGCGGAUGAAGGGAGCUUGCUCCUGGAUUCAGCGGCGGACGGGUGAGUAAUGCCUAGGAAUCUGCCUGGUAGUGGGGGAUAACGUCCGGAAACGGGCGCUAAUACCGCAUACGUCCGGGGGGAGAAAGGGGGGGAUCUUCGAACCUCACGCUAUCAGAUGAGCCUAGGUCGGAUUAGCUAGUUGGUGGGGUAAAGGCCUACCAAGGCGACGAUCCGUAACUGGUCUGAGAGGAUGAUCAGUCACACUGGAACUGAGACACGGUCCAGACUCCUACGGGAGGCAGCAGUGGGGAAUAUUGGACAAUGGGCGAAAGCCUGAUCCAGCCAUGCCGCGUGUGUGAAGAAGGUCUUCGGAUUGUAAAGCACUUUAAGUUGGGAGGAAGGGCAGUAAGUUAAUACCUUGCUGUUUUGACGUUACCAACAGAAUAAGCACCGGCUAACUUCGUG